GACGAACGCUGGCGGCGUGCUUAACACAUGCAAGUCGAGCGGUAAGGCCCUUUCGGGGGUACACGAGCGGCGAACGGGUGAGUAACACGUGGGUGACCUGCCCUCAGCUCUGGGAUAAGCCCGGGAAACUGGGUCUAAUACUGGAUAUGACUCCACGGUGCAUGCCGUGGGGUGGAAAGCCUUGUGCGGCUGAGGAUGGGCCCGCGGCCUAUCAGCUUGUUGGUGGGGUGAUGGCUACCAAGGCGACGACGGGUAGCCGGCCUGAGAGGGCGACCGGCCACACUGGGACUGAGACACGGCCCAGACUCCUACGGGAGGCAACAGUGGGGAAUCUUGCGCAAUGGGCGAAAGCCUGACGCAGCGACGCCGCGUGAGGGAUGACGGCCU
This 387-nucleotide ribosomal RNA is filed under the name uncultured bacterium. RNAcentral describes it as "bacterial SSU rRNA". It matches the Rfam family "Bacterial small subunit ribosomal RNA", at positions 28 to 417 of the family's 1533-position model. The record is from RNAcentral.